GUGCUCGCUUUGGCAACACAUAUACUACAACUGGAAUGAUACAGAGAAGAUUAGCAUAGCCCCUGUGCAAGGAUGACAUGCAAAUUUAAAAAAAAGUUUGUUU
This 103-nucleotide small nuclear RNA is filed under the name Cercocebus atys (sooty mangabey). Lineage: Eukaryota; Metazoa; Chordata; Mammalia; Primates; Cercopithecidae. The record is from RNAcentral.